Molecule: microRNA precursor, 129 nt
Organism: Citrus x clementina
Lineage: Eukaryota; Viridiplantae; Streptophyta; Magnoliopsida; Sapindales; Rutaceae
Source: Rfam
AAGAGAAGAGGCUGUCAGAGUAGCCAAGGAGACUCCCUGGCGACCAAACAAAAGGCUUCAUGCUUGAAACCUAAUGAUAUUGACAGCCGCAGGCAAGUCAUCCUUGGCUAACAAACGUUACUCUUAUCU